AACGAACGCUGGCGGCAUGCCUAACACAUGCAAGUCGAACGAGACCUUCGGGUCUAGUGGCGCACGGGUGCGUAACGCGUGGGAACCUGCCCUUAGGUUCGGAAUAACUCCCCGAAAGGGGUGCUAAUACCGGAUAAUGUCUUCGGACCAAAGAUUUAUCGCCUUUGGAUGGGCCCGCGUUGGAUUAGCUAGUUGGUAGGGUAAAAGCCUACCAAGGCGACGAUCCAUAGCUGGUCUGAGAGGAUGGUCAGCCACACUGGGACUGAGACACGGCCCAGACUCCUACGGGAGGCAGCAGUGGGGAAUAUUGGACAAUGGGCGAAAGCCUGAUCCAGCAAGGCCGCGUGAGUGAUGAAGGCCUUAGGGUUGUAAAGCUCUUUUACCCGGGAUGAUAAUGACAGUACCGGGAGAAUAAGCUCCGGCUAACUCCGU
This 432-nucleotide ribosomal RNA is filed under the name uncultured bacterium. Its description in RNAcentral is "partial 16S ribosomal RNA". It matches the Rfam family "Bacterial small subunit ribosomal RNA", at positions 29 to 506 of the family's 1533-position model. The record is from RNAcentral.